UCGGGAAUUUUGCGCAAUGGACGAAAGUCUGACGCAGCAACGCCGCGUGAGGGAUGAAGGCCUUCGGGUUGUAAACCUCUUUUCUCAGGGACGAUAAUGACGGUACCUGAGGAAUAAGCCCCGGCUAACUCCGUGCCAGCAGCCGCGGUAAUACGGAGGGGGCUAGCGUUGUUCGGAAUUACUGGGCGUAAAGCGCACGUAGGCGGCUUUGUAAGUUAGAGGUGAAAGCCCGGAGCUCAACUCCGGAAUUGCCUUUAAGACUGCAUCGCUCGAAUCAUGGAGAGGUGAGUGGAAUUCCGAGUGUAGAGGUGAAAUUCGUAGAUAUUCGGAAGAACACCAGUGGCGAAGGCGACUCACUGGACAUGUAUUGACGCUGAGGUGCGAAAGCGUGGGGAGCAAA
This 400-nucleotide ribosomal RNA is filed under the name uncultured bacterium. Its description in RNAcentral is "bacterial SSU rRNA". It matches the Rfam family "Bacterial small subunit ribosomal RNA", at positions 355 to 772 of the family's 1533-position model. The record is from RNAcentral.